This 440-nucleotide ribosomal RNA is filed under the name uncultured bacterium. RNAcentral describes it as "partial 16S ribosomal RNA". It matches the Rfam family "Bacterial small subunit ribosomal RNA", at positions 338 to 795 of the family's 1533-position model. The record is from RNAcentral.
CCUACGGGAGGCAGCAGUGGGGGAUUUUGCACAAUGGGGGAAACCCUGAUGCAGCGACGCCGCGUGAGUGAAGAAGUAUUUCGGUAUGUAAAGCUCUAUCAGCGGGGAAGAAAAUGACAGUACCUGACCAAGCAGCCCCGGCUAACUACGUGCCAGCAGCCGCGGUAAUACGUAGGGGGCAAGCGUUAUCCGGAUUGACUGGGUGUAACGGGAGCGUAGACGGUUAUGUAAGUCUGGAGUGAAAGCCCGGGGCCCAACCCCGGGACUGCUUUGGAAACUGUGUAACUGGAGUACAGGAGGGGCAGGCGGAAUUCCUGGUGUAGCGGUGGAAUGCGUAGAUAUCAGGAGGAACACCGGCGGCGAAGGCGGCUUGCUGGACUGAAACUGACGUUGAGGCUCGAAAGCGUGGGGAGCAAACAGGAUUAGAUACCCGUGUAGUC